RNAcentral lists this ribosomal RNA (566 nucleotides) under uncultured bacterium. RNAcentral's name for it is "bacterial SSU rRNA". It matches the Rfam family "Bacterial small subunit ribosomal RNA", at positions 335 to 917 of the family's 1533-position model. The record is from RNAcentral.
ACUCCUACGGGAGGCAGCAGUAGGGAAUAUUAGAAAUGGACGAAAGUCUGAUCUAGCAACACCGCGUGUGCGAAGAAGGCCUUCGGGUCGUAAAGCACUUUUUGGAAGGAAUAGGAAGGAAUGUACUUCCAGAAUAAGUCUCGGCUAACUACGUGCCAGCAGCCGCGGUAACACGUAGGAGGCAAACGUUAUCCGGAUUUACUGGGCGUAAAGCGCGUGUAGGUGGUACUGUAAGUAGGGCGUGAAAGCUCCUGGCUCAACUGGGAGAGGCCGUUCUAAACUACAGAACUAGAGGAUGGUAGAGGGAGGUGGAAUUCCAGGUGUAGCGGUGGAAUGCGCAGAUAUCUGGAGGAACACCGGUGGCGAAGGCGGCCUCCUGGACCAUUCCUGACACUCAGACGCGAAAGCUAGGGUAGCAAACGGGAUUAGAGACCCCGGUAGUCCUAGCCCUAAACGAUGUAGACUAGGCGUCGGAAGCUUAAUCGCUUUCGGUGUCCAAGCUAACGCGAUAAGUCUACCGCCUGGGGACUACGGCCGCAAGGUUAAAACUCAAAGGAAUUGACGGU